This 1206-nucleotide ribosomal RNA is filed under the name Triticum aestivum (bread wheat). RNAcentral describes it as "partial small subunit ribosomal RNA". Lineage: Eukaryota; Viridiplantae; Streptophyta; Magnoliopsida; Poales; Poaceae. The record is from RNAcentral.
CCAAAGCCGCCGAGCUUGCCUGCGCGCACACAAUCGAGCAACCCAGCACCGCCUCCGCCGCCCGGGAAGCCCAAACCAAACCCUAAGCCUCCGCGACCGGCCGCCGGCGAUGGCCCGCUACGACCGCGCGAUCACCGUCUUCUCCCCCGACGGCCACCUCUUCCAGGUCGAGUACGCCCUCGAGGCCGUCCGCAAGGGCAACGCUGCCGUCGGCGUCCGCGGCACCGACACCGUCGUCCUCGGCGUCGAGAAGAAGUCCACCCCCAAGCUCCAGGACUCCAGGUCCGUGCGGAAGAUCGCGAGCCUGGACACGCACGUCGCGCUGGCGUGCGCGGGGCUCAAGGCGGACGCGCGGGUGCUCAUCAACCGCGCCCGCGUCGAGUGCCAGAGCCACCGCCUCACCGUCGAGGACCCCGUCACCGUCGAGUACAUCACUCGCUACAUCGCCGGCCUGCAGCAGAAGUACACCCAGAGCGGUGGAGUCCGCCCCUUCGGCCUAUCCACCCUCAUCGUCGGCUUCGAUCCGUACACGGACAAGCCCGCCCUGUACCAGACCGACCCCUCCGGCACCUUCUCCGCCUGGAAGGCCAACGCCACGGGGAGGAACUCCAACUCCAUGCGGGAGUUCCUGGAGAAGAACUACAAGGACACCUCCGGCAAGGAGACCAUCAAGCUCACCAUCCGCGCUCUGCUAGAGGUUGUCGAGAGUGGUGGGAAGAACAUAGAGAUUGCAGUGAUGACAAAGAAGGAUGGCCUUCGGCAACUCGAGGAGACUGAAAUCGAUGAAUAUGUUGCCGAGAUCGAGGCAGAGAAGGCCGCGGCAGAGGCGGCAAAGAAGAGUGGCCCGAAGGAUACCUAAUUACUGGAUGUGCUAUAUCUUCAGUCUGUCAGCCGAAACCUUUUACGUUUGAACCUGCGCAAAAAAAUGUAUCCGUCAUCUGCUCCUCGCAUAUUCGCUGAUGGUUAACCUGGCGAACCAUAGUUUCUGAAGCUGUGGCGUGCUAUGCCAUAUGGGCUCAUAUAAAUCUCACUGGGUAGUGCUGGUGUGUUUGUUGCAAUGUGAAUUCACUUCCGGUCUUGAUGAUGUCACCUGAGAAUGCUGGUGCUUUCUUGGUAUUCUUGGUAUGCCACCUCACUUUGGUUCCUGAUAAUCUCAUCUGAUAAUCUAUGCUGUUGCUUUUGACCCCGCCAUGGUAUGCGAUUGCA